Molecule: ribosomal RNA, 254 nt
Filed under: uncultured bacterium
Lineage: Bacteria
Description: partial 16S ribosomal RNA
Rfam family: Bacterial small subunit ribosomal RNA
Source: RNAcentral
UACGGGGGGAGCAAGCGUUGUUCGGAUUUACUGGGCGUAAAGGGCGCGUAGGCGGUCGUGACAAGUCACUUGUGAAAUCUCCGGGCUUAACUCGGAACGGUCAAGUGAUACUGUCGGACUAGAGUACAGAAGGGGCAACUGGAAUUCUCGGUGUAGCGGUGAAAUGCGUAGAUAUCGAGAGGAACACCUGCGGCGAAGGCGGGUUGCUGGGCUGAUACUGACGCUGGGGCGCGAAAGCGUGGGGAGCAAACAGG